UACGUAGGGUGCGAGCGUUGUCCGGAAUCACUGGGCGUAAAGGGCGCGUAGGCGGCCUGCUAAGUCGAACGUGAAAUCCCUGGGCUCAACCCAGGAACUGCGUCCGGUACUGGUUGGCUUGAAUCCGGGAGAGGGACGUGGAAUUCCAGGUGUAGCGGUGAAAUGCGUAGAUAUCUGGAGGAACACCGGUGGCGAAGGCGACGUCCUGGACCGGCAUUGACGCUGAGGCGCGAAAGCCAGGGGAGCAAACGGG
Molecule: ribosomal RNA, 253 nt
Filed under: uncultured bacterium
Lineage: Bacteria
Description: partial 16S ribosomal RNA
Rfam family: Bacterial small subunit ribosomal RNA
Source: RNAcentral